Molecule: ribosomal RNA, 253 nt
Filed under: uncultured bacterium
Lineage: Bacteria
Description: partial 16S ribosomal RNA
Rfam family: Bacterial small subunit ribosomal RNA
Source: RNAcentral
UACGUAGGGGGCUAGCGUUGUCCGGAAUCAUUGGGCGUAAAGCGCGCGUAGGCGGUCCGGUAAGUCCGCUGUGAAAGCCGGGGGCUCAACCCUCGAAUGCCGGUGGAUACUGUCGGGCUAGAGUGCGGAAGAGGCGAGUGGAAUUCCUGGUGUAGCGGUGAAAUGCGCAGAUAUCAGGAGGAACACCAAUUGCGAAGGCAGCUCGCUGGGACGUUACUGACGCUGAGACGCGAAAGCGUGGGGAGCGAACAGG